Molecule: small RNA, 527 nt
Filed under: uncultured fungus
Lineage: Eukaryota; Fungi
Description: eukaryotic LSU rRNA
Rfam family: 5.8S ribosomal RNA (bases 213-367)
Source: RNAcentral
GGAAGGAUCAUUACUGAAUUGUCGGACGGGCUGUUGCUGGUCCUCGAAUGGGGACAUGUGCACGCUCUGUUUACACAUCCACUCACACCUGUGCACCCUCUGUAGUUUUACGGUCUGGGGGACCCUGUCUUCCUUCCGUAGUUCUACGUCUUUACACACACACUGUAAUAAAGUCUUAUGGAAUGUAUGCCGCGUCUAACGCAACACAAUACAACUUUCAGCAACGGAUCUCUUGGCUCUCGCAUCGAUGAAGAACGCAGCGAAAUGCGAUAAGUAAUGUGAAUUGCAGAAUUCAGUGAAUCAUCGAAUCUUUGAACGCACCUUGCGCCCCUUGGAUAUUCCGAGGGGCAUGCCUGUUUGAGUAUCAUGAACACCUCAACUCUCAUGGUUUGCCGUGACGAGCUUGGACCUUGGGGGUUUUGCUGGCCUGUGGUCGGCUCCUCUCAAAUGAAUCAGCCUCCCGGUGUUUGGUGGCAUCACGAGUGUGAUAACUAUCUACGCUCGCGGUUGUCCACCAGGUAACCUUU